GGAAUGAUAUAAAAAGCCGCUGAAAGCAAUUAUCAUCAGGGCUUGCAUAAACUGAUGCUAUACUCCCUGGAUUGGUCCUUUUAACUUGUUCACAGUACUGAGGAAGAAGGCGAUAACCUUCUUCAAAGGAACCGCGCAUAGCAGCCAUAAUUCGUUCCUUUCCACGCCAAGCUUGCUUGUACGAGAGGGUGAUUCCAUGAACCCGGUGAAUUUCUUCAAGGAUCUCUUUUGGCUUGCAAUUUGGGUUUUCCCUAAGCCGUUGCUCCACAGAGUUGGCC
RNAcentral lists this unclassified non-coding RNA (278 nucleotides) under Hevea brasiliensis (rubber tree). Lineage: Eukaryota; Viridiplantae; Streptophyta; Magnoliopsida; Malpighiales; Euphorbiaceae. The record is from RNAcentral.